This 294-nucleotide ribosomal RNA is filed under the name uncultured bacterium. RNAcentral's name for it is "partial 16S ribosomal RNA". It matches the Rfam family "Bacterial small subunit ribosomal RNA", at positions 334 to 642 of the family's 1533-position model. The record is from RNAcentral.
UUGCCCUACGGGAGGCAGCAGUGGGGAAUAUUGCACAAUGGGCGAAAGCCUGAUGCAGCAACGCCGCGUGAAGGAAGAAGGGUUUCGGCUCGUAAACUUCUAUCAACAGGGACGAAAGAAAUGACGGUACCUGAAUAAGAAGCCCCGGCUAACUACGUGCCAGCAGCCGCGGUAAUAUGUAGGGGGCAAGCGUUAUCCGGAAUUACUGGGAGUAAAGGGUCAGUAGGCGGCAUGGUGAGCCAGAUGGGAAAGCCUUGGGCUUUACCCGAGGGUUGGAUUUGGGACUAUCAAGCU